AUUGAACGCUGGCGGCAGGCCUAACACAUGCAAGUCGAGCGGAUGAAGGGAGCUUGCUCCUGGAUUCAGCGGCGGACGGGUGAGUAAUGCCUAGGAAUCUGCCUGGUAGUGGGGGAUAACGUCCGAAACGGGCGCUAAUACCGCAUACGUCCUGAGGGAGAAAGUGGGGGAUCUUCGGACCUCACGCUAUCAGAUGAGCCUAGGUCGGAUUAGCUAGUUGGUGGGGUAAAGGCCUACCAAGGCGACGAUCCGUAACUGGUCUGAGAGGAUGAUCAGUCACACUGGAACUGAGACACGGUCCAGACUCCUACGGGAGGCAGCAGUGGGGAAUAUUGGACAAAGGGCGAAAGCCUGAUCCAGCCAUGCCGCGUGUGUGAAGAAGGUCUUCGGAUUGUAAAGCACUUUAAGUUGGGAGGAAGGGCAGUAAGUUAAUACCUUGCUGUUUUGACGUUACCAACAGAAUAAGCACCGGCUAACUUCGUG
RNAcentral lists this ribosomal RNA (483 nucleotides) under uncultured bacterium. Its description in RNAcentral is "partial 16S ribosomal RNA". It matches the Rfam family "Bacterial small subunit ribosomal RNA", at positions 30 to 507 of the family's 1533-position model. The record is from RNAcentral.